AUGCAAAGCUGAAAAGCGACUAAAAUUGGAACGAUACAGAGAAGAUUAGCAUGGUCCCUGCGCAAGGAUGACACACAAAUUCGUGAAGCGUUCCAUAGUUUU
RNAcentral lists this small nuclear RNA (102 nucleotides) under Dasypus novemcinctus (nine-banded armadillo). Lineage: Eukaryota; Metazoa; Chordata; Mammalia; Cingulata; Dasypodidae. The record is from RNAcentral.